AACGAACGCUGGCGGCAGGCCUAACACAUGCAAGUCGAGCGCGCCUUCCGGGUGAGCGGCGACCGGGUUAGUAACGCGUGGGAACGUGCCCUUCUCUACGGAAUAGCCUCUGGAAACGGAGAGUAAUACCGUAUACGCCCUUUCGGGGGAAAGAUUUAUCGGAGAAGGAUCGGCCCGCGUUGGAUUAGGUAGUUGGUGGGGUAAUGGCCUACCAAGCCGACGAUCCAUAGCUGGUUUGAGAGGAUGAUCAGCCACACUGGGACUGAGACACGGCCCAGACUCCUACGGGAGGCAGCAGUGGGGAAUCUUAGACAGUGGGGGAAACCCUGAUCCAGCCAUUCCGCGUGAGUGAAGAAGGCCUUCGGGUUGUAAAGCUCUUUCGUCGGGGAAGAAAAUGACUGUACCCGAAUAAGAAGGUCCGGCUAACUUCGUG
Molecule: ribosomal RNA, 433 nt
Filed under: uncultured bacterium
Lineage: Bacteria
Description: bacterial SSU rRNA
Rfam family: Bacterial small subunit ribosomal RNA
Source: RNAcentral